RNAcentral lists this ribosomal RNA (768 nucleotides) under Triticum aestivum (bread wheat). Its description in RNAcentral is "partial small subunit ribosomal RNA". The record is from RNAcentral. Lineage: Eukaryota; Viridiplantae; Streptophyta; Magnoliopsida; Poales; Poaceae.
AUGGACUGCGGCGGUGAGGAGCAGGCGAGGCAGAACGGCCAUGCCGGCGACGGCGGCGACCCGGCGGAGUGGAAGAAGGUGGCCGAGCUCCGGGCCGUGGUGGAGGCGCAGGACCCCGCAGCCAAGGAGGAGGACGACUUCAUGCUGCGCCGGUUCCUGCGCGCCCGAGACCACAACAUCAGCAAGGCGUCGGCGAUGUUCCUCAAGUACCUGAGUUGGAAGCGCGGCGCCAAGCCUCGCUGCUCCAUCACCGAGGCCGAGGUGCGCGGCGAGCUCGUGCAGGACAAGCUCUACAUUCAGGGCUUCGACAAUACGGGCCGCCCCAUGAUCUACCUCUUCGGCAACCGCCACUUCGCCGCCAAGCGAGACCUUGAGGAGUUCAAGCGAUACGUCAUCUACAUCCUUGACAACACCUGCACCAAGUUGCCGGCAGGGCAGGAGAAGUUUGCGUCGGUGGUGGAUCUCAAGGGGUGGGGGUACGCGAAUUGCGACAUCCGGGCGAAGCUGGCGGCGUUGGAGAUCAUGCAGAACUACUACCCGGAGCGGCUGGGCCGGGUGUUCUUGAUCCACGUGCCUUACGUGUUCAUGGCGGCGUGGAAGAUGGUCUACCCCUUCAUCGACGACAACACCAAGAAGAAGUUUGUCUUUGUUGCAGACAAGGACCUUGACGGCACGCUUCGGGACGCCAUCGACUUGUCCCAGCUGCCCGAGCAAUACGGCGGCAAGCUCAGACUCGAGGGAUACAAGAGCUCGUCGACAACGCUAUAG